GGCUACCAUGCAGUCGAACGGCAGCACAGAGGAGCUUGCUCCUUGGGUGACGAGUGGCGGACGGGUGAGGAAUGCCUGGGGAUCUGCCCGAUGGAGGGGGAUAACUUCUGGAAACGGUAGCUAAUACCGCAUAGCGUCGCAAGACCAAAGUGGGGGACCUUCGGGCCUCACACCAUCGGAUGAACCCAGAUGGGAUUAGCUAGUUGGUGGGGUAACGGCUCACCUAGGCGACGAUCCCUAGCUGGUCUGAGAGGAUGACCAGCCACACUGGAACUGAGACACGGUCCAGACUCCUACGGGAGGCAGCAGUGGGGAAUAUUGCACAAUCAGUUCGCAGGCGUGGUGCAUGCAGCAUGCCGGGUGUAUGAAGAGGGCCUGCGGGUUGUAAGGUACUUUCAGCAGGGAGGAGGGCCGUGAGGUUAGUUACCUCAAUCGAAUCGGAUCGUCACCCGCAGGAGAAGGCACCCAGCUAACUACGUCCCUAGCAGCAGCCGUCAGUAAUACGGAGGGUUGCAAGCGUCAGUCAGUAACUACUGGGCGUAAAGCGCACGCAGGUCGGUCUGUCAAGGUCGGAUGUGAAAUCCCCUGGGCUUAACCUGGGAACUGCAUUCGAAUACUGGCAGGCUAGAGUCUCGUAGAGGGGGAGUAGAAUUCCAGGUGUAGCGGUGAAAUGCGUAGAGAUCUAGGAGGAAUGCUCGGAUGGCGAAAGCGGCCCGCCUGGACGGAAGACUGACGCUCAGGUACGAAAGCGUGGGGAGCAAACAGGAUUAGAUACCCUGGUAGUCCACGCCCUAAACGAUGUCGACUUGGAGGUUGUGCCCUUGAGGCGUGGCUUCGGAGCUAACGCGUUAAGUCGACCGCCCCGGGGGAGUACACGGCCGCAAAGUUAAAACUCAGAUGAAUUGGACACGGGGCCCCGCACAAGCGGUGGGAGCAUGUGGUUUAAUUCGAUGCAACGCGGAGAAUCCUUACCUGCCUUGACAUCCGACGAAAUUCUUGGCAGAGAUGCGUUAGUGCCUUCCGGAACCGUGAGACAGGUGCUGCAUGGCUGUCGUCAGCUCGGCUCGUGAAAUGUUGGGUUAAGUCCCACAACGAGCGCUACCAUUUGCCUGAUGCACCCAUCGAUUCGGUCGGGAACUCAAAGGAGACGCCCGGUGAUAAACCGGAGGAAGGUGGGGAGGACGUCAAGUCAUCAUGGCCCUUACGCCCAGGGCUGCGCACGUGCUGCAAUGGCGCAUACAAAGAGAAGCGACCUCGCGAGAGCAAGCGGACCUCAUAAACUGGGUCGUAGUCCGGAUGGGAUUCUGCAACUCGACUCCAUGAAGUCGGAAUCGCUAGUAAUCGUAGAUCACAAUGCUACGGUGAAUACGUUCCCGGGCCUUGUACACACCGCCCGUCACACCAUGGGAGUGGGUGCGACAAGAAGCUAGGUAGCUAACCUCGGAGGCGCUACCAC
RNAcentral lists this ribosomal RNA (1456 nucleotides) under Pectobacterium sp. IAC/BECa-090. RNAcentral describes it as "bacterial SSU rRNA". It matches the Rfam family "Bacterial small subunit ribosomal RNA". The record is from RNAcentral. Lineage: Bacteria; Pseudomonadati; Pseudomonadota; Gammaproteobacteria; Enterobacterales; Pectobacteriaceae.